This is a long non-coding RNA of Pipra filicauda (Wire-tailed manakin), 9111 nucleotides long. RefSeq lists it as uncharacterized. NCBI's taxonomy places the organism in Eukaryota, Metazoa, Chordata, Aves, Passeriformes, Pipridae. The record is from RefSeq and is a predicted model, not a curated record. The transcript is spliced from 10 exons.
CUGGCCACGCGAGAAACUCCGGUGAGAAAUUGCUCGGUUAAAAAUUCAGAGGGACGCUCCAUGGCAAGCCCAUGGGAGAAUCCAUUUCCCAAGCCUCCUCCUGUCUGCAGGGGCUAUUAGGAGAUUCAUUUAUUCUGCCUGAAGCCUGCAGGUUUAUAAACACGGGCUCUUUUCUUCAGCUGAGUUGAAAGGAACAACUUCCAUUUGAUUUCCUUUGGGACUGGUGCUGGCUGUCUCUAUCACUCAGUUUAAGAGUGCAGCAGUGGGGAGAAGAGGGGAGGUGGGAAAGCCAGGGGAGGACUGAGAGGGUCUUGGUUUGUGCUGGACUAGGAAAAUCUGCAUCAUGGUAAGAAUGGGUAGAAAAUCUCAUGAUUAAACUUAUGCUGCUGCAGCACGGAAGGGUUGGCCCCAUUAGAACUCUUACUGCAGCAUCCCUGGGGUAGGUGGGUGGAUGAGGAAGGGGCUGGGGACUUGACUGGGCUUUUAGGCUUAGCUGAACUACUCAGCUUUGGAAGGUGGGGGCAAGGGGCAGCUUUCCCCGGGCUGGUGCAACACCUAGAAGAAAACACUGGCAUUUCUGGGGCCUCUGAAUGUCACCAGUGUGUUGAAGAUGUCUUUGAGCUCAUGGCUGAGAGAUUCUACCACAGGGAAACCCACAGUGUCUGAGAGGUUGCAGAACAGAGGCUGGAGAAAACAUGUGGGAUGGCUUCUCUUUCCAUUUUCUUUUUCCUGUGCCAUACUCGGGAAGAUUCAAAUGCUCUUGGGACCUGUUCAGGUCUGAGGCUUCUCAGUCAGUCUGUAGCUGGCGGGGACGCUUUCACCUUGCAGGAGGAUUGAAAGGCUUUUCACUGGAGCUCCUCACCCUCCUGCACAGGGAUCGAAGGGUUGUGCUCCCUGGCUUGUGAGACAGAAUGACUGCAGUUGCUGUGAGAGAGCAGGAAAUCAUCUCUGUAAAGCUGUCCAGAAAGCCUUGAAUUCAGGUACAAGCCUCAUGUUUAUAGGAACAUAAAAGGAACCAUGGAAACUAAAUGUGGGUCAGAGCACCCGCAGAUAGAAAAAUGAGAGGGGUUGCAGUGUUACCUUAAUUUCUCCACCUUUGGAUUUCUUGUGCUGGUUUCAAACCUGCCUGGGGUCCUAGGCUCCAGGAUCCAUAGGAGGAAGGAAUUUUCUGGGGAAGGCAGUGAGGAAAAGACCUCAUCUAAAUGCUGUUCCACGAGGGUCAUGCUGCUCAGUGGUACGUGAGAUGUGCUGGCUGUGACGUUCCCGUUGAGCCCCAAGGGAGAUCAGGUGCCUGGAGAGGAAUGAGGAGCCUUACACGCACUGUUGACAUGGAACUUUGCUUCCUCCCGUUCCCUUUUCCUGGAGGAUUACCCUGUGCAACUCUGCCUGCCCUCCUGGGCCCUUCGCAAUGAUUCAGCUGCUCUGCAGUCCCCAGCUUCAUCACGGGGAAGCUUCUUCACCUGGCUGCUGCCAGCAUGCUUUUGGCGACCCUGGGUGUCCUGUCAGCUGUUACAGGCCAUUAAAGGAUUUGUUUCUCGGUGUAUGAAAAGGCUUAAUUCAAUUCUCAUUCUCUCCUGGCAUUCCUCGGAGGUGAGCGCGUCCCCUCGGCAUGAAUCCUCCAAUGCCGCUAAUUGACUUGAAAGUAGCUCGUGUCUCCUUGGAAAUGUCACCCAGCCCUUUUCAAGUGCAAUUCCAGGCAAUCAGGAUCAAUAUGUUUCUUUAGCUAAGGGUAUUAGCACAUGACUGACAGCCCUGCGGCAUUAGCUUAUUCAUAUGGACUUCCAGAUGCUCAUUUUUCUUCCCUGUCUCAGCUCCAGCCCCAGUAAGGAGGGAAAGAACUUGGAGUGGAGCCAUGCCGUGAGCUGCAGUUGUUCACAAAGCACAGGGGGAAUAAAAUGCUCAGCUGUCAGCUACCUGAAAGGGCAGUGCAAGACCGAGGCAAGGACCAGCUGCUCCUUUGGCUCCGUGUGCAGGUGCCCACACAGCCAGGGUGCUCUACACUUGAUGCAUCAUCUUUUGACAGACACAGGGCAAACUCUGCUCCUCCCUUCUGGCCUGGGUUGCAAUGAUGGAUUAAGGAGGGCAGAUAGCAGGAGUCCUGGUGCAAACAACACAUUUGAAGUGAACCCAUGGACGAGUUUGCUUGUACGUAGAAGAGAUUGCUGAUGACAGGAAUUCUCCAUCCAGGACCUCUGAACUGAGCAACGACAAGCUGCCCUGUUCUGCCCUGUGAAGGUUUGGCUGUUGGAGGAUGCAUUUUGUGUGGUCCACGGGGCAAAAAAAAAGAGAAGAAGAGCUGCAAAGCUUUGCAGAUGAAGAGGGCCGUGAUGUGUAAUUGGGUUGUUCCAGUGAAGGCAGCAACAGCAGGGAAGCAGCAGUUGGUGGGGAUGGUCUGGAGUGUGUCUGCAGAGCUGUGGAGCAGAGGAGAAAGUGUGUCUUGGAGGAGGUCUCCAAGCAUUUUAAAAGGAAGCUAACACCACAGAUUGGAAAACUUUACAUUUUGAGGCUUCAGUGACUGGUUUAGAGCCAGCCAGAGGAACCUCACCACUAAGUGUCGAGUUGAAGGGAAAUACAAUACAUCACCUUCCUCGUGGGCUGCCAUUCAGCCAAGAGUAACAGAGAUUAGCCUUCAAUCACAGAGGGGCCAGAGCUGAAGGAAACCUUCCCGAGGACACGCUGGAGAAACAUUUUCAUUAGUGGAGGAGAAGCUGACGGAGAUGGAGUGGCCCUUCACCUCAGCUGCCAGACCUCUCGCCUGCCUGGCGUUAACAGGACAGGGAGAUGCUAAUGGAGGAGCUGGUGCCAGCUGCAAGUCUUUAAGUGCUGUCUGUAUCCAGAUACCGUUCUCUCUCGGGGGCUGCCUGUGGUGCUGCAUUAACAGCACAUCUCUGUGUUGAAGAAACAAUGAGGAUAUAACAGAGACCAAAAUGAAAUCCUCCCUGGAGUUGCCAAGAAUGAUGGAUAACUGCAAGAAAAUAUUAUUCUAUGGCUCUGGAAAAGGAAGAUCUACUGUCUUAGUAACCUGGUAAUGAGGUAGUGGCUCUGCUCCGUGCAGAGGCUGGGAGCCAGGGGAGAUUUGGGGUUACAAAGAGGGCUGGACAGAGUUUGCUGCCCUCUCAGCUCCUUUCCUGUAUCACUGUCAACUUAGAUUUCACAUCAAGAGGGUGAUGUUAUGCCUGGCAGUGACAACAGCAGAAUGUCACUGGCAGAGGUGAAAUCUUUCCCUCCGUGAGGGUAAUUCUUCCUUUCCCUUCCCCUUCGCUUAUGUCAAGGACCUCUGGCUCCCUGUGCCGAGUGGGCCAUGUACACAUGCUGCUCAGGGGACAACACAUUCUGUGCUGAGCUUCACUUUUCCUGCUGUCUUGGUAAGCAGCUCUGUGUCACCGAUGCCUCUUGGCUGCGUGGUGACCCAGGACAAAGGGAAACCCCUUGUUACUGUCUGAGAGAAAUUGGGGCCAUUGGAAGCUGCCGUGUUUGCCAUCGUGGCAGCACUGCUCAGAGUGCUCCUCUGCCAUGCUGGCACACUUAUAUCAUCGUCAGCUUUGCCAGGGAUGUCCCUUCAGAGACCAUUUGUGCUCUUCAGGGGCCAGGUCUGAGCUAGGUCAGAGUCUGAGGGGCAGACUUACACAUGUUAAAGGGUAAUGUCCCCCACAGGCUGUCUCUCACCUCCUCUGAACAGCAGCUGAUCUUGCAGGAGUGUGCCUGUGCCCACCCUCUCCGGCAGCCCCUCUGCCAGCUUCUGUCCCCAAGGGCUGGUUCAGCAAAGCGUAGUGUUGUUCUGGGUCCAGCUUCCAUUUUCUAGCUAGUUAUGGAGGAGAGGAUGAAGGUUGUUGCUGCUGCUGCCAGGCCACACUAGAAAAUAGGCAGGGGACCAGCCUCUUAGUGCCCUUAAAGAUCCAAGAGUUUAAUCUGACCCUGGCUCUCUCUUAGCCCUGAACCUGUUGUGUCUUUUCCAGCUGGUGCCCAAGCCUCUCUUUGUUAUUUUUAUUUUUUUUUCCCCUUUUCUCCUCACCUUAUGAAAAAUGGCUUUCCCAUCUGCAUCUGUCAGGAGUGUGCCGAGUUGGGGGUACGGCUCAGUGAAUAUACAAACGCGCGGUUGGACCGUGGCCCCCCUGACAGGCUGGAGAUGAAUUCCAAACGUGCAGGGAGAAGAGCUCCUGCUGCCUCUGAUGGUUGUUUUUCUUAUCCCGAGGAGGUGUGAGAAUCGCCUUUGGGAGCAGUGCUUCCUUCUGCUCCCGUUCUGCCUUUACCAAGGAUCAGUUCUCUGCCAUCCAUCAUCAGACGAGCCCUCUCCUCGCUCCCACGUCUCAGCUGCUGAUGGCAGUGCUGGAGAAGGGGGAAACUGUUUUAUCCUGCUUUUCACUACCAUCCUUUUUCCUCUCCCUUUUGCAUCCCACCUCCUAGGCCUCUAUUACAAGGCAAUUGGCAGGCUGGGGCUGGAGGGCACUUGCCUUUUCUUGCUGAUCCAGGUAGAGGGGAGGGGAUGGUUUCAUAUAAUCAUUGGAUAUCCUGAGUUGGAAGGGACCCACGAGGAUCAUUAAGUCCAACUCUUAGACCUGCACAGGACAGCCCAGCAAUUCCACCCUGUCCCUGAGAGUGUUGUCUGAAUACUUUUUGAACUCUGUCGGGCUUGGAGCCGUGCCCUCUACUCUGGGGACCUGUUCAGUGCACCACCACCCUCUGAGUGAAGAACCUUUUCCUAAUAUCCAGCCUAAACCUGCCCUGACAGAGCUUCAUGCUGUUCCCUUGAGUCUUGUCACUGGUCACCAGUUUGACCUUACCCAGGGGGCUUAAAAUGUCAUUUUGAUUGGAGUUUUUCAGAGGUGUUGUGCGUGACUCCAUGUAAGAUGCACUGAAAGCACCCCAGUGCUCCUGCACGUCUCAGCCUUCCCCUGCUGCAGGUGACCAGAGCUCUGGGGCUCUGCAAGGAGGAAUUCACCGUCUCUGAGUUGUGGAACUCUGCAGGGUCGCUCAGGUACCCAAAGAGAGAUGACAGCCUGCCCUGACAGCCAUGAAUUUGCUGAGCUCUUUUCCUGCCUGUUGGCUUUCUGCAGUGAGGUACACGAGCUGCUUCCCUGGCCUUGAUGUGCAGAGAAGCUUUCAGCCAGGUGGGCUCAGAGGAGCAGGCAGGCAGAAAAUGAAAUGAGUGUCUCCAUGCUCUUGCCACAGCUAUCUGGUCAAGGAGGGGAACUUUCUGGGUGGGCAGACCCCCUCUUUGGCAGGAGGAGAGAGCAGGCAGCUUGAGCUGAGCUGGUUUUUUUGACAAGCAGAUGGAUGUUCAGUGGGGACCCAAGAAAACCCUCUCGCUCCAGGCUAUCUGUGAGCCCUCCAAACCAGAGCGUUGUGCUGACACAAAAGCAUCGCUCCGUUGAUGCUCAGCUUGAAUUGCCUCUUCCAGGCGCCUGAUUCGGGACACAGCGACCGUCCCCUCCUGCCACCAGCUCCCGGGAGGAGCCAGCUGCCUGCCUGCAACCGGGCGAGGAUGGAGCCGGAGCCGUGGAGCAGCGAGGAGGGAGGGAGGCGAGCGACGGCAGCUUCCUCCGGCAUCUCCACACCGCGGGGCUCUUGGCGAGCGAGUGCUCGUCUGCUUUGAAAGCUCUUAGUGCUCCUGCAGGUGGGAGCCAAUUUGUCUGCUUUCCUGCCCAGGUGCCAUCUGUUUGUAGGAUUGCCUGUGCGGUGGAUGAGCACGACGGGGAUGGCGAAGGGAAAGGGCUGCUGGGCUGGGAAAGAUGAGCCUAAAACUUUCCUUGAGUAUCUUCAGCGCUUCUGGCUGCCGUUGUUCUCUCUCCCCUGCAUCGCAGCGGGGAAAUCGGAGCCUGUCAUUUGCUGUUCCCGGAGCGUAGAGGGGAGCUGAGGCACUGCUAAUAGCAAACUAUCAUUCUAAUGCUAAUUUCCUACCAUUAGCUCAGGCUGGGGGAGGCUCAGCCUGGGUGGAGGGAAGCCAUUAGCAGAUGGAGAAGGGGAGAUGUGUGCGGAUUUGUUCUGCACCCCCAGAAGGGAUUUUCAGAGGGCAGAUGAUUAACCACCACUGGGCAAAUUGGUAACACGAGCUAGGUUCAGUCUCUGGUGGACGUGGGAGGAAGGGAGAGGAUGCUUUGUUCCAAGUUGUCCUUCCUCUAGGGAUUUCCUGAGUGCUUCAGGCUUUGGCUUGAGUCUGGUCUUAGCUGCUUGUUGCCAGCCUUCGUGUGUUGUGACCCAAGGGAUGCUCAGAGCGCUGGCAGGGCUGCAGCUGGUGGCACCAAUGUCCUUUCAACAAAGGAGCCGAGCAGGGUUGGGUUUAGCUGCUGUCUUUUUGGGAGGAGCUUCCCAGUUCAGGAGCCUGGACAUCCAUGUUUGGUGGCAGGCUUCGAAGCAGGGAAAUUUUGAAUCCACCCUUGAGAUACCCAAGAGCUAAAAAAGAAACCUGUCCUUUUGCCAUGGGAGCAAACCCAGAUGCCCCAAGCUGGAGACAUGUCAGGAGAAACUGGGGCUGAGUUUGGAAUUGUGAAGGAAAAUGAACUAUUUCCCUGCCCUUUCCAGAGGUGAGCAUUCCUACAUCCAGCCUCUUCAUCAGUCUCCUCUAGACAAGUGGAAGAGCCUGUGCUGCUCCCUGGACUGGUGAGGUGCCUGGGAGCUUCUGGGGUGUGUGUAGAAGGUGAUUGGCUACAGUAGGACUGUAGGGCCUGUUUGGAAUUCUUUGGGCAACAGUCAGAGAGGUUUCUCUACCAUUCCUAGACCAGCUUGGAAACCUUGGGACUAAAGGGGUGCAAGCUGUGCCUGGCUGGGAAGAAACUGGUUGCCUGCUACUGAGGACAACGAUGUUUGAAGGCAAGGGCCCAGUAGUGUCCUGAUCUUGGUGAUCCUGAAGACCCAGCAGCCUGUCUGUGGUGAUCUAGACCACUGGCUUCAUCAUUUCAUAGGGAAGCAUACAAGGAUUUUUUUUAAAACCGCUUUAAGACCGUUUUAAAACUCUUCUGUCAUCUAGCAGAGAUGCAGUGGAGGGACAAAAGCAGCCACAAUAAACCAGGAACUGGUUAAAUGGCAAAGGGGGAGUAAGGCAAGAAGGGACUAUCCUGCCAGGAGGACAAUAGCACAAGGCUCCAUUAGCAGAACAGCACUGCUCACUGUGGUUACCAGCUAUCAGAUCCAUCCCGGUGUGGAGCAUGACUCACUGUUGUUUAAGAAGCUAUUUCCAUCUGAAAAAAAACAGCUCCUACCUUUUCUAGAGACUCUUCCCUGCCUUGUUUGAAGAGAGAAGCAAAAAAGUGAAGGGCUACUUUUUCCUAGUCAAGGAGGCUCAAACAAACUUUCCCUCAAGUAGCUGAGCAAGGAAAUCAGCACAUUAUGUGUUCUCGAGAAUAAUACAAUCAAAGUAGUUGGGGGGGGGGGAAAGUAAGAAUAAAAUAGCAUUGCUUUUCCCAGUUCAGCACUUUGAAUAAUGAGCUUACAAGCCAGAGGCAGAGCUCCCAGGAGUGGAGCUGUGUUCAGGAGAUGGACACAAGUGUCUCGGAUGGGCCCGGAUCUGAAGCCAUCUCUCUCUCUAAUUUUCUACAUCAGUGAGAACACAGCACAGCACCAUCGAUCAUAGUCAACCUCCCCUCAAAAGCCACCUCCUGCCUCUCUGUAUGGCAGGUCCCCCUCUGCUCCUGUCCCCGCUGGGGACCGCAGGUGUCCCGGACAACAGCGCUGCCGGCACAUUUCCCUCACAGGAGGGUUCUUCCUCCUCGUGUUCGAGCCUGCUUGUGUUUCUGCCUUUCUCCUUCCUCCACCCCUAGCACCUGUUCCUCAACGGUGCUUCAUUUCCAGAUGUGUCUCCCCCUCCUGGAGUCAGGAAAGGCCAAAUACUCCUUUAAUCCCCGAUGAGGAGAAGGUGUGGAGCUGCCUGUCCCGGUAAACCUGCUGUGUGCUGCCAGGGGGAGGGGUGAGUGUGGUUUUAGUGCCUGUACUGCUCAUCCAGGGUCAAAGAGGUUGGACUUCGCAGCUUCCCUGAGGCCAUCAGGGCAUGUUCUGGGGAUUGCUGGUACUGGGACUGGCUCCUUCUCCCCAGCUCUGGGCGUGGAGCACCUAAAGGGAUCAUCAUUCACGCUGGGCUGGUGGUGCGAUGCAGCAGUUUCUGGUCCCUCGUUUCUCCUUCUGUGAAGUCCUCUCUGCUCCUUCCUGGCCUGGCCAGGUGUUUCCGCCAGACCCAGGGGCACCAGUUUGGCAGGAGCACUGGUGAUGGGGCUCCGCCUGGGCAGGCCAAGGCCAGGCACUUCUAGGCUGGCCAGAGGGUGAUGGGAUGUGGGUUUGUGCUUGUGGCUGUUCCUUCUGCUGGAGCGUGGACACAGCUGGUGGGUUCGGUGCCUCUUGCUACUUCAUCUGUCUCAUGUGCUCUUGCUCAGCUGUGGUGGCUCUCAGACCUACCAAAACCUGGCUGAAUGUCAUGACACAAAAGUGGUUUUCCAGCCCUGUUUCUGGCUUCAUGGGCUCAAGCACUAGCUAGAAAACCAAGGACUGAGCUUCUUUCUUGAGCACAGCCCUAGAGAGGAGCAUCUUCUGAAGAAACUCUUGCAAUUGCCAUCUCCCUCUCAGCCUUUUCACUGGCUUCUGAGAGCUGCAGAGCAUCCUUGACCUCUGUCUCAGGCAUGGUUUCCUGCAUGUAUCAGCCCUGCUCCAGUGUUGUGGAGCUAUUGCUGGCAUCUGUAAUAGCUAUGUUGUUUACUUCCCAAGUGCCUGCCCUUUCCGUAAUGAGCUGUAAUUCAUCCUGGUUUAUACAGGGCUCGGAGAUACCUGGAGCGAGGAGGGUGUGCCAUUAAACCACCUUCUAGGCUGCUCUCUGGACCUGGGAUUGCUGAUCUCCUGGAGAUGUAAAACAAGGAGGACAAGGGGGACCAGAUGGAAAUGGGGAAUAAUUACCUUGCAGGGUUUUUGCCCAGGGCUGGUUGGGUUGGGAACUGCUGUGAGCUGACACACAGGUGCAGAUGGAUGGUUACGGCACACAGGGCAGAGGGAUGAAAGAUGCCUUUUUAAAGCAUCUGCCUUCCUCUCUUCCUCUGUUUUAUAACCUGUUUUUAUAGAGACUGCACGAGGAACACAUUUUUUUUAUUAGCAGCUUGGGAGUGGAGAGUAAUAAAGAUUAAUUUUUUUAAAUAA